RNAcentral lists this ribosomal RNA (374 nucleotides) under uncultured organism. RNAcentral describes it as "partial 16S ribosomal RNA". It matches the Rfam family "Bacterial small subunit ribosomal RNA", at positions 527 to 896 of the family's 1533-position model. The record is from RNAcentral.
GUAGGUGGCAAGCGUUGUCCGGAAUUAUUGGGCGUAAAGCGCGCGCAGGCGGUUCUUUAAGUCUGAUGUGAAAGCCCACGGCUCAACCGUGGAGGGUCAUUGGAAACUGGAGAACUUGAGUACAGAAGAGGAAAGCGGAAUUCCACGUGUAGCGGUGAAAUGCGUAGAGAUGUGGAGGAACACCAGUGGCGAAGGCGGCUUUCUGGUCUGUGACUGACGCUGAGGCGCGAAAGCGUUGGGGGAGCAAACAGGAUUAGAUACCCUGGUAGUCCACGCCGUAAACCGAUGAGUGCUAAGUGUUAGGGGGUUUCCGCCCCUUAGUGCUGCAGCUAACGCAUUAAGCACUCCCGCCUGGGAGUACGGCCGCAAGGCUG